CGGACCGGCCGGCAGGUGCGUAACGCGUAUGCAACCUACCUUUAACAGGGGAGUAACACUGAGAAAUUGGUACUAAUACCCCAUAAUAUCAUAGAAGGCAUCUUUUAUGGUUGAAAAUUCCGAUGGUUAGAGAUGGGCAUGCGUUGUAUUAGCUAGUUGGUGGGGUAACGGCUCACCAAGGCGACGAUACAUAGGGGGACUGAGAGGUUAACCCCCCACACUGAUACUGAGACACGGACCAG
This 242-nucleotide ribosomal RNA is filed under the name uncultured bacterium. RNAcentral's name for it is "partial 16S ribosomal RNA". It matches the Rfam family "Bacterial small subunit ribosomal RNA", at positions 91 to 334 of the family's 1533-position model. The record is from RNAcentral.